AUGCCAUCUAUCAUGGGGCCGAGGCCAACUGCAUCGGCUCCGGUGAGACGCAAGAAGACUCUACCACCGGAUUUUACCCCUCGCCAGAGUGCGCGGCUAAAUAAAAAUUGUGAUGGCGCGAACAAGGGGCCAUACCACCGCGCUCAAACUGUGCUGCUUCGUCGCAUGGGUCUAAUGGAGGCUGAAGAACAGGUGACGCAGAAAGCGAUGGACGGAUACUUGAAGAUCUUCGACAAGCCGCUGGCUCCGCACCAAAUCAAGGCGAUUACUGCUCUCUUCGCCCCAGAUGAAGUGGACUUUGAUGAACCUGCUCAUGAGGGCUUCAGUGCUUUCUCCCUCCCUGCGGCUGUGGAGCCUUGUGGUGUGUAG
RNAcentral lists this ribosomal RNA (369 nucleotides) under Triticum aestivum (bread wheat). RNAcentral describes it as "partial small subunit ribosomal RNA". The record is from RNAcentral. Lineage: Eukaryota; Viridiplantae; Streptophyta; Magnoliopsida; Poales; Poaceae.